GUCAACGGUCAUGUACUGUCUCCUGGGUUGGGUCCCAGCAGUUCUAAUGAGGCGGAGUCUCACCACAGUGGCCCAAGGUGAGUGUAUCGCCUCGUGUACACCGGUUGCAUCAAACUGUGUUCCGGCAGAAGUCUGUUUAUUUAAUUGUGAGGCAAGCCACACUGCUGCGACUCCUCUGCCGGACUAGGUUGUGGUGCGUGGCACUGCGUGCAGUAUGCCACAUGCGUUGGUUUGCCGUGCAAUACCAGAAGUAAACCACACAAAAAGUUCCUAAUGUGUAGCAUGAUACUUUUUGUUGUGAUGCGGUGGAUGGAUUGUGAAGACUACGUGAGAUGUACCAUACAGCAAUAACCUGUGUGCACGCAGCAUUAGAUUGUUUUACCUAUUUUGUUUUAUCAGAUUCUCUCAUGAUCAUUUUGAUGUACAGUAAUUCAUGAAUGCUAUUGAUGUAUUUUUCUACAGCAAAGAGGUGUAUAGUGCCAUCCCCAGCCAGGACAACCCGUCUCAGAGCCUCCACAGUGCCGACAGCGAUAGCCACCUCUCCCCAACCCCAGAGAAAAGGACUAAAACUCACUCUGACCCCCUCCCUCACCACCCACCAUCAACCACUGCUAACCCGCCAUCCUCAUUGGCCGAUGUUGGCGCUAAGCCACCUACUGACACCAUGAGGGAAUCCAGCUCCACCUCCAACCCUGGGGCCUUACCCCUCCAGCCCACCCCCCACUCCCUCAGAACCCUAGUCUCUCCAGCCUUCUCCCAGCCCCUCUCUGGACCAGGCCAGGGGACCACAAAAGGCCUCGGAGCACCACACAGCAGAUCUGGGGAGGACGUCAGGGAGACUGAGAACAGCCCAGCAGCAGGGCUGGAUGGACGGCUGGACGGCAAGCCCAGCUCCAGAGAGGGAAGAGACCGGAUGUAUUCUUCUGAUCGGGAUAAGGGGAGAGACCGACUAUAUUCUUCGGACCGCGAUAGGGAUGGAGACCGGCUGUACUCUUCUGACCGGGAUAAAGACGGAGAAAGGAAUGGGUACCACCGUGACAUGAGCCGUGAACGCAACUGGGACCGUGACUCAGACCGCUAUCGACACCGGCGGGACCACAGAGAUCGAGAACACCACCGAGACCGAGAACACCACCGGUCGUACCGUGAUCGCUCGGCCAGCCGGGACAGACACUGGGAGUCAGAGCGUCGCUGGGAGAGGAACGCCUACCACCCCAGGGACAGGGACCGCUGCCACCACCACUACCACAGACCCAGAGAGAACAGGGAGAGGGACCGGAGGGAGCACAGCCUCCCCCAUAGAGAGGAGCCUCACGGACGCUCCAGGUGGAGGGGGGAGAGGUGUGAAGGUAAGGACAGGGGUGAUGGUAAGAGGGGUUACUACCCUUCACAGGAGGAGACCCCCCUGCCCACCCCACUAAGCUCCAACACCAAACCCAGUCAGCCCCCCACUAGCCCAGACCUCUCCCCAGCCAGACCAGCUCUGGAGAAACGACCCGAUCCUCUGAGAGAGGACAGCGUUGAGGAGCGUCGGGCCAAGAAACACAAGAAGAGCAAGAAGAAGAAGAAGUCCAAGGACAAAGCUAGGCGUCGAGAGAAUGGGACCUCUGAUGUGGAUUCCUCUGACAGGGCUGCCGAUGGCAGCAGGUCCUCCAAACACAAGAAGAAGAAGAAGAGGAGGCACGACACUGACAUGGAGGACGAGAAGUCCCGCUCUACCCAGAGUUCCGAGGGGCACCGUGACCCCAACGCCCCCCGGGAGAGUCGCAGGGCGAGCAGCAGUGACGAGGAGAGGGCGAGCAGGAAGCGACGUUACCAGGACGAUGAUGGCUCUGACAAUAGCUACCCCGAGGUCUGUAUGCAAACGUAA
Molecule: long non-coding RNA, 1870 nt
Filed under: Oncorhynchus mykiss (rainbow trout)
Lineage: Eukaryota; Metazoa; Chordata; Actinopteri; Salmoniformes; Salmonidae
Description: lncRNA (ENSOMYG00000036090.2)
Source: RNAcentral